GGAGACCUGCUCGAGUGGCUGAAGAGGUACGCUUGGAAAGCGUAUAAACGGGAAACUGUUUCAAGGGUUCGAAUCCCUUGGUCUCCG
This 87-nucleotide transfer RNA is filed under the name Chitinophagaceae bacterium. RNAcentral describes it as "tRNA-Ser". It matches the Rfam family "tRNA". Rfam says of the family: Transfer RNA (tRNA) molecules are approximately 80 nucleotides in length. Their secondary structure includes four short double-helical elements and three loops (D, anti-codon, and T loops). Further hydrogen bonds mediate the characteristic L-shaped molecular structure. tRNAs have two regions of fundamental functional importance: the anti-codon, which is responsible for specific mRNA codon recognition, and the 3' end, to which the tRNAs corresponding amino acid is attached (by aminoacyl-tRNA synthetases). tRNAs cope with the degeneracy of the genetic code in two manners: having more than one tRNA (with a specific anti-codon) for a particular amino acid; and 'wobble' base-pairing, i.e. permitting non-standard base-pairing at the 3rd anti-codon position. Lineage: Bacteria; Pseudomonadati; Bacteroidota; Chitinophagia; Chitinophagales; Chitinophagaceae. The record is from RNAcentral.